UACGUAUGGAGCAAGCGUUAUCCGGAUUUACUGGGUGUAAAGGGAGCGCAGGCGGUCUGGCAAGUCUGAUGUGAAAUACCGGGGCUCAACUCCGGGACUGCAUUGGAAACUGUCAGACUGGAGUGUCGGAGAGGCAGGCGGAAUUCCUGGUGUAGCGGUGAAAUGCGUAGAUAUCAGGAGGAACACCAGUGGCGAAGGCGGCCUGCUGGACGAUGACUGACGCUGAGGCUCGAAAGCGUGGGGAGCAAACAGG
RNAcentral lists this ribosomal RNA (253 nucleotides) under uncultured bacterium. Its description in RNAcentral is "partial 16S ribosomal RNA". It matches the Rfam family "Bacterial small subunit ribosomal RNA", at positions 524 to 776 of the family's 1533-position model. The record is from RNAcentral.